ACGGCGGCCGUAACUAUAACGGUCCUAAGGUAGCGAAAUUCCUUGUCGGGUAAGUUCCGACCCGCACGAAAGGCGUAACGAUUUGGGCACUGUCUCAACGAGAGACUCGGUGAAAUCAUAGUACCUGUGAAGAUGCAGGUUACCCGCGACAGGACGGAAAGACCCCGUGGAGCUUUACUGUAGCCUGAUAUUGAAAUUCGGCACAGCUUGUACAGGAUAGGUAGGAGCCUUUGAAACGUGAGCGCUAGCUUACGUGGAGGCGCUGGUGGGAUACUACCCUAGCUGUGUUGGCUUUCUAACCCGCACCACUUAUCGUGGUGGGAGACAGUGUCAGGCGGGCAGUUUGACUGGGGCGGUCGCCUCCUAAAAGGUAACGGAGGCGCUCAAAGGUUCCCUCAGAAUGGUUGGAAAUCAUUCAUAGAGUGUAAAGGCAUAAGGGAGCUUGACUGCGAGACCUACAAGUCGAGCAGGGUCGAAAGACGGACUUAGUGAUCCGGUGGUUCCGCAUGGAAGGGCCAUCGCUCAACGGAUAAAAGCUACCCCGGGGAUAACAGGCUUAUCUCCCCCAAGAGUUCACAUCGACGGGGAGGUUUGGCACCUCGAUGUCGGCUCAUCGCAUCCUGGGGCUGUAGUCGGUCCCAAGGGUUGGGCUGUUCGCCCAUUAAAGCGGUACGCGAGCUGGGUUCAGAACGUCGUGAGACAGUUCGGUCCCUAUCCGUCGUGGGCGUAGGAAAUUUGAGAGGAGCUGUCCUUAGUACGAGAGGACCGGGAUGGACAUACCUCUGGUGUACCAGUUGUCGUGCCAACGGCAUAGCUGGGUAGCUAUGUGUGGACGGGAUAAGUG
This 844-nucleotide ribosomal RNA is filed under the name Staphylococcus aureus. RNAcentral's name for it is "partial 23S ribosomal RNA". It matches the Rfam family "Bacterial large subunit ribosomal RNA", at positions 1927 to 2770 of the family's 2925-position model. The record is from RNAcentral. Lineage: Bacteria; Bacillati; Bacillota; Bacilli; Caryophanales; Staphylococcaceae.